Molecule: ribosomal RNA, 253 nt
Filed under: uncultured bacterium
Lineage: Bacteria
Description: partial 16S ribosomal RNA
Rfam family: Bacterial small subunit ribosomal RNA
Source: RNAcentral
GACGGACCAUCCAAACGUUAUUCGGAAUUACUGGGCUUAAAGGGUGCGUAGGCGGCGCGGAAAGUUGGGUGUGAAAUCCCUUGGCUUAACCAAGGAAUGGCGCUCAAAACUACCGUGCUCGAGGAAGACAGAGGUGAGCGGAACUUAGGGUGGAGCGGUGAAAUGCGUUGAUAUCCUAAGGAACACCGGUGGCGAAAGCGGCUCACUGGGUCUUUUCUGACGCUGAGGCACGAAAGCCAGGGGAGCGAACGGG